RNAcentral lists this ribosomal RNA (492 nucleotides) under uncultured bacterium. Its description in RNAcentral is "partial 16S ribosomal RNA". It matches the Rfam family "Bacterial small subunit ribosomal RNA", at positions 29 to 507 of the family's 1533-position model. The record is from RNAcentral.
AGUGAACGCUGGCGGUAGGCCUAACACGUGCAAGUCGAACGGCAGCACAGUAAGAGCUUGCUCUUACGGGUGGCGAGUGGCGGACGGGUGAGGAAUACAUCGGAAUCUACUUUUUCGUGGGGGAUAACGUAGGGAAACUUACGCUAAUACCGCAUACGACCUACGGGUGAAAGCAGGGGAUCUUCGGACCUUGCGCGAUUGAAUGAGCCGAUGUCGGAUUAGCUAGUUGGCGGGGUAAAGGCCCACCAAGGCGACGAUCCGUAGCUGGUCUGAGAGGAUGAUCAGCCACACUGGAACUGAGACACGGUCCAGACUCCUACGGGAGGCAGCAGUGGGGAAUAUUGGACAAUGGGCGCAAGCCUGAUCCAGCCAUACCGCGUGGGUGAAGAAGGCCUUCGGGUUGUAAAGCCCUUUUGUUGGGAAAGAAAAGCAGCAGGUUAAUACCCCGCUGUUCUGACGGUACCCAAGGAAUAAGCACCGGCUAACUUCGUG